Molecule: ribosomal RNA, 510 nt
Filed under: uncultured bacterium
Lineage: Bacteria
Description: partial 16S ribosomal RNA
Rfam family: Bacterial small subunit ribosomal RNA
Source: RNAcentral
GACGAACGCUGGCGGCGUGCUUAACACAUGCAAGUCGAACGAAGAGCGAUGGAAGCUUGCUUCUAUCAAUCUUAGUGGCGAACGGGUGAGUAACGCGUAAUCAACCUGCCCUUCAGAGGGGGACAACAGUUGGAAACGACUGCUAAUGCCGCAUACGAUCUGACCUCGGCAUCGAGGAUAGAUGAAAGGUGGCCUCUAUUUAUAAGCUAUCACUGAAGGUGGGGAUUGCGUCUGAUUAGCUAGUUGGAGGGGUAACGGCCCACCAAGGCGAUGAUCAGUAGCCGGUCUGAGAGGAUGAACGGCCACAUUGGGACUGAGACACGGCCCAGACUCCUACGGGAGGCAGCAGUGGGGAAUCUUCCGCAAUGGACGAAAGUCUGACGGAGCAACGCCGCGUGAGUGAUGACGGCCUUCGGGUUGUAAAGCUCUGUUAAUCGGGACGAAAGGCCUUCUUGCGAAUAGUUAGAAGGAUUGACGGUACCGGAAUAGAAAGCCACGGCUAACUACGUG